Molecule: ribosomal RNA, 1028 nt
Filed under: uncultured Alphaproteobacteria bacterium
Lineage: Bacteria; Pseudomonadati; Pseudomonadota; Alphaproteobacteria
Description: bacterial SSU rRNA
Rfam family: Bacterial small subunit ribosomal RNA
Source: RNAcentral
UCCUACGGGAGGCAGCAGUGAGGAAUUUUCCGCAAUGGGCGAAAGCCUGACGGAGCGACGCCGCGUGUGGGAAGAAGGCCUUAGGGUCGUAAACCACUGUCGAAGGGGACGAUAAUGACAGUACCGGGAGAAUAAGCUCCGGCUAACUCCGUGCCAGCAGCCGCGGUAAUACGGAGGGAGCUAGCGUUGUUCGGAAUUACUGGGCGUAAAGCGCACGUAGGCGGCUUUGUAAGUCAGAGGUGAAAGCCUGGAGCUCAACUCCAGAACUGCCUUUGAGACUGCAUCGCUUGAAUCCAGGAGAGGUGAGUGGAAUUCCGAGUGUAGAGGUGAAAUUCGUAGAUAUUCGGAAGAACACCAGUGGCGAAGGCGGCUCACUGGACUGGUAUUGACGCUGAGGUGCGAAAGCGUGGGAGCAAACAGGAUUAGAUACCCUGGUAGUCCACGCCGUAAACGAUGAUAACUAGCUGUCCGGGCACUUGGUGCUUGGGUGGCGCAGCUAACGCAUUAAGUUAUCCGCCUGGGGAGUACGGUCGCAAGAUUAAAACUCAAAGGAAUUGACGGGGGCCUGCACAAGCGGUGGAGCAUGUGGUUUAAUUCGAAGCAACGCGCAGAACCUUACCAGCGUUUGACAUGUCCGGACGAUUUCCAGAGAUGGAUCUCUUCCCUUCGGGGACUGGAACACAGGUGCUGCAUGGCUGUCGUCAGCUCGUGUCGUGAGAUGUUGGGUUAAGUCCCGCAACGAGCGCAACCCUCGCCUUUAGUUACCAUCAUUUAGUUGGGGACUCUAAAGGAACCGCCGGUGAUAAGCCGGAGGAAGGUGGGGAUGACGUCAAGUCCUCAUGGCCCUUACGCGCUGGGCUACACACGUGCUACAAUGGCGGUGACAGUGGGCAGCAAACUCGCGAGAGUGCGCUAAUCUCCAAAAGCCGUCUCAGUUCGGAUUGUUCUCUGCAACUCGAGAGCAUGAAGGCGGAAUCGCUAGUAAUCGCGGAUCAGCAUGCCCCCGUUUUGCGUUCCCGGGCCUUGUA